This 162-nucleotide unclassified non-coding RNA is filed under the name uncultured Ascomycota. RNAcentral's name for it is "sequence contains ITS1". Lineage: Eukaryota; Fungi; Ascomycota. The record is from RNAcentral.
CCGAGUUACCUGCCCUCGUGGCAGAACUCCCACCCCUGAUUUACCUUCUUAUUUGUUGCUUCGGCGGCAACGACGCUGCCCUCCGGGGCGCGCCUGCCUGCCGCCGGAGCCCCCCCAAACCCAACCAUUUAUCGUGUCGUCUGAGAAAUUACACAAUCGUGA